This is a long non-coding RNA of Siniperca chuatsi (mandarin fish), 748 nucleotides long. RefSeq lists it as uncharacterized. The record is from RefSeq and is a predicted model, not a curated record. The transcript is spliced from 4 exons. Lineage: Eukaryota; Metazoa; Chordata; Actinopteri; Centrarchiformes; Sinipercidae.
UGCUGAUGUUGACCAGGCACUCACUGGACUUGAGGCUAGCCAGAGACUUGCAGCUCGGGAGGGAUGCCAAGGACCCACAUAGGCCCAUCAUGGAGGGGGUGUAGUCCUUUCCUGGAGGGGUGGGACAGGCAUACAAAGUGCUCUGCAGUGCACUGAGGAGUAUGUGGGUGAAACCUGGACACCACCCUCUGUCUACAUCACUCACAGCUGCUCCUGAAGCUCCAGGACUAUGUCCUCCAGUUCCUUCUUCUCCCGUUGGCUGUGGCUCUGCAGCUCCUCCAAUCGGGCCUUUAGCCUCUUGUUCUCUGUUUCUGUGUUCUUCAGCUGGGACUCACGCAGGCGCACAAGCUCCUCCAGCUCUCCUCGUCAGUGACCAGGGGGAUGUAGGGGUGUUCGGGAAAGCUGUCAUCACUUGUGCUGCUGUCAACACUCUGUCGAUCGUCAUCAUCGCUCAGUGAACAGAGGGCGGAGUCUUGGGUCUACAGGUGCAGCUACAGCGUGAGAGCCUUCACAGAAACAAGGAGCUGCUGAUGGAGGAAGCCCACAGUGUUUGACCAUAAAAUCUUUGCAGAUAUUGAAAACUGAUUGAUGCGCUGGAUACUGAUUUGUUAUUUUAGACACUACAAUAUUGUAUUUAAAAAUUCAGAACAAGUUUUGAUGCAGAGACAUUAUAACAAUGUUAGGUUUGACUUUAUGUAAUAAUUUCAGUAUUGAUAGCUGAAUUAAAUUGAUUCUACUAAAUGUUUAA